AUUUUAAUGAUCGAACAGAUCAAAAUUUUAAACUUUUGCAUUUAAAUUUUAUCUUAAUCCAACAUCGAGGUCGCAAACUUUUUUUUUUAUUUGAACUAAAAAAAAAUAUUACGCUGUUAUCCCUAAGGUAAUUUUUUCUUAUAAUCAUUAUUAAUGGAUCAUUUAAUCAUUUAUUUAUGUUUAAUUUUUAAAAAAAGUUAAUUUAAUUUUUCUAUCACCCCAAUAUAAUAAUUAAUUUUAUUUUAAUAAAAAUUUUUAUAUAAUUUUAAAAUAAAAAUAAAUAUAAAACUCUAUAGGGUCUUCUCGUCUUUUAAAAUUAAUUUAGCUUUUUAACUAAAAAAUAAACUUCUAAAAAUAAAUAAGAGACAGUUUAUAUUUCAUCAAAUCUUUCAUACAAGUUUUCAAUUAAAAAACUAUUGAUUAUGCUACCUUUGUACAGUCAUUAUACUGCAGCCCUUUAAUUAUUAUCAGUGGGCAGAUUAGACCUUAAAUUAUAUUCAA
Molecule: ribosomal RNA, 501 nt
Filed under: Oeneis jutta
Lineage: Eukaryota; Metazoa; Arthropoda; Insecta; Lepidoptera; Nymphalidae
Description: partial 16S rRNA
Source: RNAcentral